CAUUUUUCAGUUCGUUUCUUGUUUUUGGCGUUGGUUUUUUGUGUGUUUUUUUGUAUUGCUGAUGAUUAUGAUGAUAAGAUUAAUGGAUGAUAAGAUGAAUGGAUGACCGCGUCCAUAUUCCAGAAAAGAAAUGAACCCGAAACGGAAAGUUGUUCUUGAGAUGUUUUGGUCGUCUUUAGAAUACGUAAGUGGAAAAA
Molecule: non-coding RNA, 197 nt
Filed under: uncultured Nitzschia
Lineage: Eukaryota; Bacillariophyta; Bacillariophyceae; Bacillariales; Bacillariaceae
Source: RNAcentral